UACGUAGGGUGCAAGCGUUGUCCGGAAUUAUUGGGCGUAAAGAGCUCGUAGGCGGUCUGUCGCGUCGGCUGUGAAAUCCCGGAGCUCAACUCCAGGUCUGCAGUCGAUACGGGCAAGCUGGAGUACUGCAGGGGAGACUGGAAUUCCUGGUGUAGCGGUGAAAUGCGCAGAUAUCAGGAGGAACACCGGUGGCGAAGGCGGGUCUCUGGGCAGUAACUGACGCUGAGGAGCGAAAGCGUGGGGAGCGAACAGG
RNAcentral lists this ribosomal RNA (253 nucleotides) under uncultured bacterium. Its description in RNAcentral is "partial 16S ribosomal RNA". It matches the Rfam family "Bacterial small subunit ribosomal RNA", at positions 524 to 776 of the family's 1533-position model. The record is from RNAcentral.